Oncorhynchus tshawytscha (Chinook salmon) is the source of this 362-nucleotide long non-coding RNA. The record is from Ensembl. NCBI's taxonomy places the organism in Eukaryota, Metazoa, Chordata, Actinopteri, Salmoniformes, Salmonidae.
AGAUUAUUUAAGGUUAGGGUUAGGCAUUAGGGUUAGCGCAGUGGUUAAGGUUAAGAUUAUUUAAGGUUAGGGUUAGGCAUUAGGGUUAACGCAGUGGUUAAGGUUAAGAUUAUUUAAGGUUAGGGUUAGGCAUUAGGGUUAGCGCAGUGGUUAAGGUUAAGAUUAUUUAAGGUUAGGGUUAGGCAUUAAGGUUAGCAGUGGUUAAGGUUAAGAUUAUUUAAGGUUAGGGUUAGGCAUUAAGGUUAGCAGUGUGGUUAAAUUUAGGUUUAAAAUCAGAUUUUAUGACUUUGUGGCUGUGCCAGCUACUAAACUGCGCCUCUUAAGGGGAAAGUAAUCGAAAAGUAACUGAAAGUAAUUAGAUU